Molecule: ribosomal RNA, 450 nt
Filed under: uncultured bacterium
Lineage: Bacteria
Description: partial 16S ribosomal RNA
Rfam family: Bacterial small subunit ribosomal RNA
Source: RNAcentral
GUGGGGAAUAUUGGACAAUGGGCGCAAGCCUGAUCCAGCAAUGCCGCGUGGGUGAAGAAGGCCUUCGGGUUGUAAAGCCCUUUUGUACGGAAAGAAAUCCUGGUGGUUAAUACCCGCCGGGGAUGACGGUACCGUAAGAAUAAGCACCGGCUAACUUCGUGCCAGCAGCCGCGGUAAUACGAAGGGUGCAAGCGUUAAUCGGAAUUACUGGGCGUAAAGCGUGCGUAGGUGGUUUCUUAAGUCUGUCGUGAAAGCCCUGGGCUCAACCUGGGAAUGGCGAUGGAUACUGGGAGGCUAGAGUGCGGUAGAGGAUGGCGGAAUUCCCGGUGUAGCGGUGAAAUGCGUAGAGAUCGGGAGGAACAUCUGUGGCGAAGGCGGCCAUCUGGACCAGCACUGACACUGAGGCACGAAAGCGUGGGGAGCAAACAGGAUUAGAAACCCCUGUAGUCC